AAGAAAGAACUGACACUCAGUGCACAUGCUCAGUGCGUCUCCGCUGGCUCGGUGCUGAAGUUGGGCGGACGGAAGAAAAACACCCCUUCGAGAAAUUAAACAUCAGCAUACUGUACUGUACUAUACAAAAACAACAAGACAUCCAAAAUAAAGCGAUUGUACUGCCUCUGCGACUCCUCUGCGACCCAGAGCCUGCCAAUGCUUGCUUCUGAUCAGGGAUGAGACAUGCAGUUGGUGGUUUCGUUUACAAGUGCUAAAGAAGCUGAAAUGAGGAAAAGGCAGCAACCAAUCAACGAUGGAAAUCCUCAAGCACCAGGCAACCAGAGGCAGGACACUUGUUUUUUUUUGUCUUGUUGCUGCAGCUGUUCAUGACGUAGCGUCACAGAUUCACCGCCAUUCCUCAUUGUUUGGAGUCUCUAUUUCUGUCUGAGGCCUGGGAACAACAACACCACCCAGCAUCCCUCC
Polyodon spathula (Mississippi paddlefish) is the source of this 465-nucleotide long non-coding RNA. RefSeq lists it as uncharacterized. NCBI's taxonomy places the organism in Eukaryota, Metazoa, Chordata, Actinopteri, Acipenseriformes, Polyodontidae. The transcript has 4 exons. The record is from RefSeq and is a predicted model, not a curated record.